This 433-nucleotide ribosomal RNA is filed under the name uncultured bacterium. Its description in RNAcentral is "bacterial SSU rRNA". It matches the Rfam family "Bacterial small subunit ribosomal RNA", at positions 29 to 506 of the family's 1533-position model. The record is from RNAcentral.
ACGAACGCUGGCGGCAGGCUUAACACAUGCAAGUCGAGCGCACUCUUCGGAGUGAGCGGCGGACGGGUUAGUAACGCGUGGGAACGUGCCCUCUUCUACGGAAUAGCCCAGGGAAACUUGGAUUAAUGCCGUAUACGCCCCGCAAGGGGGAAAGAUUUAUCGGAGGAGGAUCGGCCCGCGUUGGAUUAGGUAGUUGGUGGGGUAAUGGCCUACCAAGCCGACGAUCCAUAGCUGGUUUGAGAGGAUGAUCAGCAACACUGGGACUGAGACACGGCCCAGACUCCUACGGGAGGCAGCAGUGGGGAAUCUUGGACAAUGGGGGAAACCCUGAUCCAGCCAUGCCGCGUGAUCGAUGAAGGCCUUAGGGUUGUAAAGAUCUUUCAGCUGGGAAGAUAAUGACGGUACCAGCAGAAGAAGCCCCGGCUAACUCCGU